GUAUUGAUGAUGACUCCCACAAAUGCAUUCUUUGGAAAUCUGUACAAAAUGAAUGGGUCUCGGGUUUCUCUGAGGUCAUGUCACUGACGGGUCC
Small nucleolar RNA from Balaenoptera ricei (Rice's whale), 94 nucleotides. RefSeq annotates it as small nucleolar RNA SNORD116. The transcript has a single exon. The record is from RefSeq and is a predicted model, not a curated record. NCBI's taxonomy places the organism in Eukaryota, Metazoa, Chordata, Mammalia, Artiodactyla, Balaenopteridae.